This 495-nucleotide ribosomal RNA is filed under the name uncultured bacterium. RNAcentral's name for it is "partial 16S ribosomal RNA". It matches the Rfam family "Bacterial small subunit ribosomal RNA", at positions 28 to 507 of the family's 1533-position model. The record is from RNAcentral.
GACGAACGCUGGCGGCGUGCCUAAUACAUGCAAGUAGAACGCUGAAGGAGGAGCUUGCUUCUCCGGAUGAGUUGCGAACGGGUGAGUAACGCGUAGGUAACCUGCCUGGUAGCGGGGGAUAACUAUUGGAAACGAUAGCUAAUACCGCAUAACAGUAGAUGUUGCAUGACAUUUGCUUAAAAGGUGCAAUUGCAUCACUACCAGAUGGACCUGCGUUGUAUUAGCUAGUUGGUGAGGUAACGGCUCACCAAGGCGACGAUACAUAGCCGACCUGAGAGGGUGAUCGGCCGCACUGGGACUGAGACACGGCCCAGACUCCUACGGGAGGCAGCAGUAGGGAAUCUUCGGCAAUGGACGGAAGUCUGACCGAGCAACGCCGCGUGAGUGAAGAAGGGUUUCGGAUCGUAAAGCUCUGUUGUAAGAGAAGAACGAGUGUGAGAGUGGAAAGUUCACACUGUGACGGUAUCUUACCAGAAAGGGACGGCUAACUACGUG